RNAcentral lists this ribosomal RNA (695 nucleotides) under Bacillus sp. p8(2016). RNAcentral describes it as "bacterial SSU rRNA". It matches the Rfam family "Bacterial small subunit ribosomal RNA", at positions 51 to 753 of the family's 1533-position model. The record is from RNAcentral. Lineage: Bacteria; Bacillati; Bacillota; Bacilli; Caryophanales; Bacillaceae.
AUACAUGCAGUCGAGCGAUGGUUAAGAGCUUGCUCUUAUGAAGUUAGCGGCGGCGGGUGAGUUACACGUGGGUAACUGCCCAUAAGACUGGGAUAACUCCGGGAAACCGUGGCUUAUACCGGAUAACAUUUUGAACCGCAUGGCGGUAAUGAAGGCGGCUUCACUGUCACUUAUGGAUGGCCCGCGUCGAUUAGUAGUUGGUGAGGUACGCUCACAAGGCAACGAUGCGUAGCGAACUGAGAGGUGAUCGGCCACACUUGGACUAGACCGCCCAAACCCUACGGAUGCAGCAGUAGGGAACUUCCGCUAAGGACGAAAGUCUGACGGAGAACGCCGCGUGAGUGAUGAAGGCUUUCGGGUCGUAAACUCUGUUGUUAGGGAAGAACAAGUGCUAGUGGAAUAAGCUGGCACUUGACGGUAACUAACCAGAAAACCACGCCAACUACGUCCCAGCAGCCGCGGUAAUACGUAGGUGGCAAGCGUUAUCCGGAAUUAUUGGGCGUAAAGCGCGCGCAGGUGGUUUCUUAAGUCUGAUGUGAAAACCCACGGCUCAACCGUGGAGGGUCAUUGGAAACUGGGAGACUUGAGUGCAGAAGAGGAAAGUGGAAUUCCAUGUGUAGCGGUGAAAUGCGUAGAGAUAUGGAGGAACACCAGUGGCGAAGGCGACUUUCUGGUCUGUAACUGACACUGAGGCG